GAGUUUGAUCCUGGCUCAGGAUGAACGCUGGCGGCGUGCCUAAUACAUGCAAGUCGAACGCUUUGUGGUUCAACUGAUUUGAAGAGCUUGCUCAGAUAUGACGAUGGACAUUGCAAAGAGUGGCGAACGGGUGAGUAACACGUGGGAAACCUACCUCUUAGCAGGGGAUAACAUUUGGAAACAGAUGCUAAUACCGUAUAACAAUGACAACCGCAUGGUUGUUAUUUGAAAGAUGGUUCUGCUAUCACUAAGAGAUGGUCCCGCGGUGCAUUAGCUAGUUGGUAAGGUAAUGGCUUACCAAGGCGAUGAUGCAUAGCCGAGUUGAGAGACUGAUCGGCCACAAUGGGACUGAGACACGGCCCAUACUCCUACGGGAGGCAGCAGUA
This 386-nucleotide ribosomal RNA is filed under the name Weissella confusa. Its description in RNAcentral is "bacterial SSU rRNA". It matches the Rfam family "Bacterial small subunit ribosomal RNA", at positions 9 to 356 of the family's 1533-position model. Lineage: Bacteria; Bacillati; Bacillota; Bacilli; Lactobacillales; Lactobacillaceae. The record is from RNAcentral.